Brienomyrus brachyistius is the source of this 8002-nucleotide RNA transcript. It is a transcript of the gene named nuclear transcription factor Y, alpha, with no coding region annotated. The record is from RefSeq and is a predicted model, not a curated record. Lineage: Eukaryota; Metazoa; Chordata; Actinopteri; Osteoglossiformes; Mormyridae. The transcript has 10 exons.
AGGCGUCGCGGGACGACGAGGGGCGGAGAAACGGCGGCGGCCUUGCUUGUCGGAGGUGGUAAAGCUGCGCCAUUUUGUCCGCACUCGCGUGAGCUCGGUGAUUGGGCUUCGUUGGUCGGCGCUGGAGCCAAUCAGAGGGGAACCGUGCGGCGGAGAAACGAUCGUUGUCGUCGUCGUCGUCAACAACAACAGCAGCAAGCAGUAGCAGAGUGAGGUGACGUGGGCAUGGAGCAAUACACCACCACCGCCUCCACCACCGGGGAGCAGAUUGUGGUCCAGGCGGCCAGUGGGCAGCUGCAGCAGCAGGGCACAGUGACCGCAGUGCAGCUGCAGACUGAGGCCCAGGUGGCACCGGCCUCUGGUCAGCAGGUGCAGACACUCCAGGUAGUGCAGGGUCAGCCCCUGAUGGUGCAGGUCAGCGGAGGCCAGCUGAUCACCUCCUCAGGGCAGCCGAUCAUGGUGCAGGCCAUGCCUGGAAGCCAGGGCCAGACUAUCAUGCAGGUGCCUGUAUCAGGGGCACAGGGUCUGCAGCAGAUCCAGCUCGUCCAGCCAGGGCAGAUCCAGCUGCAGGGGGGACAGGCGCUUCAAGUGCAGGGCCAACAAGGUGCCACCCAGCAGAUCAUCAUCCAACAGCCCCAGACGGCCGUCACCGCCGGACAGACCCAGGGCCAGCAGCAGAUCACGGUGCAGGGCCAGCAAGUGGCGCAGACGGCCGAGGGCCAGACUAUUGUAUACCAGCCGGUCAAUGCUGACGGCACAAUCCUGCAGCAGGGAAUGAUCACCAUCCCGGCGGCGAGCCUGGCAGGGGCCCAGAUCGUGCAGGCCGGCUCUAACACCAACACCAGUACCAGCGGCCAGGGCACCGUGACAGUUACCCUGCCGGUGUCUGGCAACAUGGUGAAUGCCGGAGGCAUGGUGAUGAUGGUGCCUGGCAGCGGCACCGUGCCCUCCAUCCAGCGCAUCCCACUGCCUGGCGCCGAGAUGCUGGAAGAGGAGCCGCUCUACGUUAACGCCAAGCAGUACCACCGCAUCCUGAAGCGCCGGCAGGCCCGCGCCAAGCUGGAAGCUGAGGGCAAAAUCCCCAAGGAGCGGAGGAAAUACCUGCACGAGUCACGACACCGGCAUGCCAUGCAGAGGAAGCGCGGUGAUGGCGGCCGCUUCUUCUCACCCAAGGAGAAGGAGGAAAUGGCCCUUGCCCUACAGGUGAGGGAAAAGGGGGACUUAAGCCAGCAGCAGCAGGAGGAUGUGCUUAGGGCUCUGCAGCUCAACUCCCAUUGGCCACCCAUGUCUGCCCCACCCCUCGGGUAAACAGUGGAACAUCCCACUUGUACUCAGUGGGCCUUACCUGUAAGACGAGAGCCAUGUUUUCUUUGUGUCUGAAACCUUCUGUUUGUUCAUUGUCUUAUGCCAGCUACCUCAGAUAAGAUUAUUUUUAUGGUUUGUUAAAUAUGGGGGGCGGCAUGGUGGUGCAGUGGUUAGCACUGUCGCCUCACACCUCUGGGACCCGGGUUCGAGUCUCUGCCUGGGUCACAUGUGUGCGGAGUUUGCAUGUUCUCCCCGUGUCGUCGUGGGGUUUCCUCCGGGUACUCCGGUUUCCCCCCACAGUCCAAAAACAUGCUGAGGCUAAUUGGAGUUGCUGAAUUGCCCGUAGGUGUGCAUGCGUGAAUGAAUGGUGUGUGAGUGUGCCCUGCAAUGGGCUGGCCCCCCAUCCUGGGUUGUUCCCUGCCUCGUGCCCAUUGAUUCCGGGAUAGGCUCCGGACCCCCCGCGACCCAGUAGGAUAAGCGGUUUGGAAAAUGGAUGGAUGGAUGGAUGGAAGUCACAGAGUACUCAACUGUUUGGUUGCAACAAAAUCCUGUACUGGAUUUGUACUUUCUGGAUAUAAAACCUCUAUUGAUCAGUAUAGUCUAAGCCAUCAAAAAUAAACGUAACUGUGUUUUGAAUGUUAUUAUGUUGACCUGUCAUGGAAUUACCCUUAAGAGCUUCUCAGGGGUAAAUGUCCAGCAAAACACAUAGGAAUAAAUCCUUUGUGUUUCCCUUUUAAUGAGGAAAAUUUAAAUACUGUUUUAUAAUGGGGUCCCAUGUACAUCUUUUGCAUAUUGUAAUGUAUUGUAUAUUAACUAAUCUUGUAUUAUAACUGCACUUUUCAUUCUGUCUUGGGCACCCUGGGUUUCUUGGUAGAGGUCCCAGGUUUGCUGUGGAUUUGUGGAUAUGGAAGGUGAUUGAUUGGUGUAUUUCUACAUGAUCUUUAAUCUGAGUGUUGCCUUGUAAAAGGCAAUGGCAGAAAGGAACACAGAGAGAGUGCUGAGGUAAGGGCGUCUACCACAUUAAAUGGCAAGAUGACAGGUACGCUUCUCAUUAGCACUGAAAAUAGGAGAGGAGAUUACCUGAGGACUUUCCUGAUGAGUAGCAAACCGUGAAACAGGAGAGGAAGGGAGGAGCUAAUGAAGAAAAGGAUCUCUAUGGGCCAGUGGUCAGCUGGUCAACCUAAUAACAAUAUAGAAUUUAUAAAAGAGUCAUUAAGUGCUGUGUCAACAAAUGCAGCAGCUGUGAGUUCGUUUUGCCUUAUCGGAGCUCCAAACCACCAGACCUUGAUCUAAGAGCAAGUAAACAUGAUCUUUCUCCAUGAAGAGGAACAGAGCCAGUGUGGAUCUCAUGCUGUACCUGUCAGGAUGCGGGCAGGUCAUUGUUUAUGCCAUUGGCUUGAAGCAUAAAUUGUUGAUGUUGACAUUUUUUUUCCCAACUUGGCAUCCUGUCUGCUUUUACCUCUGAAUGCUCCGCUCUAGUGUUUGUGGGUGUUUAUGAACAAGUGCUGCUUUGGUUUGAACGGCACUGGUCUGGUAUCUCUUAACCUGUUCAUCAGAACAUCCUUGAGGCGUAUUGCUCAGGGUUCAGUCAGUUGUCACAGUGACUAUAACAUCUUCUGUGGGUUUUUUUGGCAAUACCCCUCCUUCCCCCAUCCCCCAAUAUUGGGGACGGAAAGCAGAACCACUUGACAUGUAGGCAUUUCCUGAGCUGACUGCUCACUUUUCUUUGUUGUUCAUCCCCUUUCACCAGUAGUGCGAACUGUUAAACGAUACAUACGCAAUAAUGCAUUGAGUUUUGCAACAUCUUUUCAUACAUACAAUUUAAAUAAAUAUACAGCUCUGGAAAAAAUUGAGACCACAGCAAAAGUUUCAGUUUCACUCAUGUGUGAAAUAUCCAUGUUAUUUUGCAAACUGCAGCCUGGCUCUUCCCUGAUUCUCAUUGAUGAAGGGCUGUUUUUUUUUCUUUUUGGGUCUUCAGUCCUGCUUCUACACUGUUGGAAAAAACGGUACAGACCUGGUACAGUUUUGUCGUCCAAGGUACAAGCAAUAAUAAUGUGCCCCCAAUGAUACAGAAAAUAUACCUCAGAGUUCAUUUCUGUACCUUAAAAGGUACAUUACCCUACAGCUAGAGUACAAGUGGCAGUCGCUUGAGGGUACAGCCCCAGUGACAAGUAAUUGUACCCUCAGAGGUACAAAUUGGUACUUUUUCUGAGUGUAGGAGUCUGUUAUGAAUUGUCCUAGCAGUGCACUUAAUGUUUCCCAUUCUUUUUGAAGGUCGCUUGAGGUCAUCCUCCGAUUUAUAAGGCAUUACGGAUAAGUUAAUGCUCAUCUCUGGAAUUAGAAAGCUGCUUCUGCUCUCUACCUGGCUGGUUUUUGGCUGUUGCCAGCAUUCCUGCUUCACCUUGUUCUUGCGUAUUGCUGCUGUAGAAACCGCCUCGCAGUGUAGCCUUCUGCCAGCAGCACCAGGAUUAAACCAGGAUUUAAAAAGGCAUAUUUUAAGAAAUAUAGUGCGGUCUCUUAAUUUUUUCCAGAACUGUAUGCGUGUUAGAGUGCCAGUUGCUUUUUCAUGUUUGAAAAUUGCCAAAGUGUGCUUCUUCCAGAGCACCAAGCGCACACUUGAGUGUUUUUAACAUCCAUGAACAAUGGAACCCUAUGAAGAAACUGAUUGCUGUUGAGUAAGCUAAUGGCAAUCACCUAUAUUCUUUUUGGAUUGCAUCAUAUGUGAUCAUAUGAGAAAUGCAUAUAUACCUGUCUGCCCAAUGAGGAUGCACCAUGCUCUGUGCAUUCUGGGAUUGGCUCUGGGCUAACAGUAACCAUAUACUGGAUAAGCAGUUAUGGAAAGUGAAUGGAUAGAUUUACCAGUGUAGGACCAUUAAUCUAGGAUAUCUAUGACAUUGACCAUACUGACUAGGUAUUUAUUUCUCACUAGCCCAUGUUCUUUUACUCAUUAGAGUAAGUGUGAGCUGGAGUGGACAGGGCAAGACACAGCCAGUCAGGUAAAGGGCAAGGUUUCUAUUAGAUGCUAAUUUGCCAUUGUUGUGGUCAUAAUCAUCAGGUUGCCAGCAUUUACCAAAAAUGAUGCGAACGAGCUGUUUGACUUCAGCUACCUCGGGAGGGGAGGGGUGGCCUUUUGUAAAGAGGGUGGUACCGCCCCCUCCCCGUCUUCCCUAGUCCCCACCAGCCAGGAGAUUACCAUGAAAACGUAUGUUGGAUGUUAAAAUGCCCGGGCAAGAGUGCGGCGAACCUAGAGGCUGAGAGCUGCAAACAGGAAACGAUGGCACAAAAGCAGAGUGGGGUGAGUCUGGCCUGGAUGGGGGCCUGGGCUAGGGGCUGGUUGUGGUCCUUUGGUGGACAUGUGAUUGAGACGCACUGGGGAGCGGACGGUGGUUUUUCCAUGGACAGCAAACUGCGUACGGACUGGCGUUCCUCUCUGCAUAGCGGCCCGGAGUAGCUGAGUGUGUGAGUCCUGCUUCCUCCAUUCACUGGGUUGUAGAAGUUAUCAAGGGCUGGGUGUUUCCUGUGGUUCAUUAGCAGACAAAAGACUGGAUGUGGAUUAGAGUCCCUUUAUGAACAGUGCCUGUGUGUGACGUCUGGUUCCUCGAAGCAGCCCUGUGGCUUUGACUCCCGGGAGUCACUGUUCAUAGUGCUGCUUCUGCCUUGAGUUUAGACUCUCACAAUGAUUGAAGUCAUGGAACGCAGGGGUCGGUCUGAUCUGGAUGUAGAAAGUGUGCGUCUGCAGAAGGAGUAACGUGGGGUUAGGGGUGGGCGAUACGGCAAAAAUAUCAUAUCGUGAUUUUUUCAGGCAAGAUCACGAUCCACGAUCUUAUUGCAAUUCUUUUUCAUGCUGGUUUUGCAAGCUACUUAACAGUUCAACCAAACUAAUAAAUAAAACCUAAAAGACAAACCUGCCCAGCACACUCUUUUGUGGGUUUUCUUUUGAGUUGGUUAAUAAGGUUCCUCGUGCUGCCAUCCGACGUGCAAACCUUUGUGCAAUCUUUGCAAAAUUUGCAAAUAACUGUUGCUUGCACCCUGUUGGUUUUGGAAAAUCCAAACAAGUUCCAAAUCACCGACGUCAAAUUAUUUUUAAGGACCAGCUCCUUCGUGCCAUCCAUGCCACUACGCUGGCAAAUAUGGAAUGUGUUGCAUGUUGCACAUUGCAUGUCGGGAUUGGCGUGAAACGGAGAGAGGAAGAAAUACAAGACACUGCCUACUGCCGGUUUAUUGUUGUGUCGAAAGAGAUUUAACUGACAAAACAACUUUAGAUGUGUAUAUGAGCCAUAGUACUGCAACUGAUAGAAUGUGCACUGUAGUGCGAUACUAAUGAUCUCUCCGUAAAGGCAGAUUGUGGAGACAUUUUAAUCGUUCAUGAUUUAAUAUCGUCACGUCGUACACUCCUUCUUGGGGGGUUGGUGUUUCAGAAGUUUUGUGGUGGGAGAGACUACUGGUUCUGUUUUGGAGGUAGAUUUCUUAACAUUCUUCACAUUUUUCCCAUUCUGCUCUCUGCUGCAGCUUGUGGGUCAGUGUGUAUCUUCUAAGGGUGAUCCAGUGAUUGCCUUCUGCAGCCUCCUUUGUUCCAGCGGAGGCUCUAUUUUGUGAUCCAGGUGUUCAGAGGUCAGGUGUACGAAUGAGCAAAAUCAAGCAAUGAAAAUAAGGAAAACUGCUAAACUGACAGAUUGUGGCUGCGAGACUUCAUCAUUUCCAAGGACAGCCUCAACCCUUUGAGUCAGCCAGACAGCAGGAUAGGACAGCCUAUAGUCACUCUUAUUUUUUGCCUUACUUAGCUUAUUAACAAUUGCAUUUUCCAUCUGAACAUCAGACUAACAAUGGCCUGGGCUCCUUCUCCUCUGCCAUAUCUGGAAAUAAAACCCAAGGAUUCCUGAUAUGGAUCCUGACGGGGAGAACUUUAUUGCCAUCGGUUCGCUGUUACAUUUACGCUCCACUCAAGGUCAAAAUUCAGAAUUGAGGAUUAUUGUCAAGGACGCCGUCUGACACUCGUAUCAUUUCUGUUCAAGCAUAACAAGCAGCUUAAUCCCAGAGUUGGAGGGGAUUUAGCUGGGAAAAGCUUAGUGGAGUUAAAUGUUAGAAAGCAUGUGGGAGGGGGACUAAUCCAGAGGCAGGCCAUGGAACGGUGUCUGAGGCCCUGAAAUGAUCUUUUUACUGUUAGCAUAAUACUAACAACACCGUGAUUAUAUUAGUUGCCAGACAGCCAUUGUUGUUAUCCUGCUUUCAGCCCUGGAUGCUACCCUCUAAAAAUCCGUAAGUUCUAUGUCUCCAUGGAAACAGCGGGACUUUAUUGGUGUUCUAGAAAAUAUGGGACAUGUGUCAUCCUCCUGCGGACUGGUGCAUGUUGGGAAAUGAAGAAGGAACCUGGAAAAGAAGGUGCUGUAUUGGUUAGACACGCGACUCAAAGCUGAAAGUGAGUUUUGAUUAAAAAAAAAGUGAAACAGUAAGAAUAAUAAAAUUGACUGCCCAAUUAUCCACAUGAAUUCCUAAAGCAGCGGUUCUCAACCCGUGGGUCGUGACCCAAAUUUGGGUCGGAAAGGGGCAAAAUUCACUGGCAUAUCCAAUCAGAUUUGUGCGAUAGGCAUUGAUUGGCAUAAACUGCAGAGUGCACUGCGUGCUUGAUCAUAGCGUUAAUUUAAACCCAUAUAGAGUCGCGACUGAGAUGGCACGGUAAAAAUUGGGUCGCGGUGCAAAAAAAGGUUGGUAUAAAGAAUGUCCAAAAUCUUUGUGUGCCACAGAUUCUGUGUGUGAGUGUGUGCGCACACGAGUGACCUCUGACCUCGGAGGGGCAUCUAUCUAACAGAAUUAUCAACAUGCUGGAAAGCAGAACCGUGAGCCGCAUUACCAUGCGUAUGUGUCCCUGCCCUGUCAGACUUCCCCCGGGUCCCUCCGCCCCAUGAUUUUAGUCUCCCUGAGCUGUACAGAGGGCAGUUGCGUAACAUGUCUGAGAGACUAUUGGCUCGCUUGCCUCAUUGAAAGAGAACAAGAUAUUUUUAGGGAACAGUUCGAAAGCCUUCAGCAAUCCGGUGACAUUGUCUGCUUGGCAACAGCUUGACAAAAUUCAACGUGUUGAUGUUUUUUGAUACAAUAAUGAGAAUCUGGGGUUGCUUGCUUAAUAUUAAUCUGGUAGGAAGCUUUGGCAGGAGAGUCUAUAAACCAGAUGAUGACCUAAUUUAACACACUUUGUAUUUUUUUCUUUCAUUUUUAUUUGGCUGUUUGUAACUCCCCCCCCCCCCCCCACUGCUCCUGUUUUAUACUCACGACCUUGUGAUUUAAUAAUAACACCAAUGUAAUGUGAGCCCUGGUAAUGCUGAGCACCAGGUGCGGAAAACUCAGUCCAUUGGAGGGCGCUGACCCUCUCAGCCGGUCACACACUAUGGGUAGCUCAAGUAAAAGCGGGGAGAAUCUGGAGCGCGAACAUGGAGAGUACAAGGAGACUCACAAAGCCGAGGCGCCGAACCCACAACCUCCUGUAGUAUACUACGUUUAAAACCUGUAUUUAAUACCUACAAGUGCUAGAUUUCCCAGAGGUGUGAGAUCACAGCGCUACCUGCUGACACGCUGCUCUGUCGCCUGGAAUUUUCAUGAUGAGCUACACUGGGAUGUUAUGCGGGAAGGUUUACAUGUAAGUCUAGAUAUUUUCACUUUGUAAAAAUGCAAUGUCUGCCUUUCUCUUUUUCGCAAUAUAAUGAGG